UACGAAGGGGGCUAGCGUUGCUCGGAAUCACUGGGCGUAAAGCGCACGUAGGCGGACUCUUAAGUCGGGGGUGAAAUCCUGGAGCUCAACUCCAGAACUGCCUUUGAUACUGGGAGUCUUGAGUUCGGGAGAGGUGAGUGGAACUGCGAGUGUAGAGGUGAAAUUCGUAGAUAUUCGCAAGAACACCAGUGGCGAAGGCGGCUCACUGGCCCGAUACUGACGCUGAGGUGCGAAAGCGUGGGGAGCAAACAGG
RNAcentral lists this ribosomal RNA (253 nucleotides) under uncultured bacterium. Its description in RNAcentral is "partial 16S ribosomal RNA". It matches the Rfam family "Bacterial small subunit ribosomal RNA", at positions 524 to 776 of the family's 1533-position model. The record is from RNAcentral.